AGCCCGGCGGGAACCGCGGCGGCGGAGUGGCGCAGCGCCCGUCUGUGAAUAGCGGCCUCCUGUCCCCCGCGCCAUCUUGAGCACUCGCUGGGGGCCGCGUUCCCCCUCCCUCUUCAAGAUGGCGCUCGCCGGCCGGACACACAGGCGGCGGCGGCGAGGGACGGAGCCGCGGCGGGAGCGGGGCUGCGCCGCCCGCCCGGCGCCUCCUUUGUCUGCGGCCUCGGCAAGAAGGAGUCCAGCCUUGGCCGCUGAGGUGUCUGGGCACUGACCCUGUCCGUAGGAUGCUGCUGCUUUUGCUGAGCUGGAUGAAAAACUGUUAGUUUCACGGUGCUUGGAGGGCACCUGGAUUUGGGCUGAAGAGAAAGUGUCUGCAUUUCUUCCUGUGCUUAGACUUUAUUAUUCACAUGGCACC
Molecule: long non-coding RNA, 412 nt
Organism: Columba livia (rock pigeon)
Lineage: Eukaryota; Metazoa; Chordata; Aves; Columbiformes; Columbidae
Exons: 3
Source: RefSeq, a predicted model, not a curated record